RNAcentral lists this transfer RNA (73 nucleotides) under Balaenoptera musculus (blue whale). It matches the Rfam family "tRNA". From Rfam's summary of the family: Transfer RNA (tRNA) molecules are approximately 80 nucleotides in length. RNAcentral also lists the same sequence under 2 other names. The record is from Rfam by way of RNAcentral. Lineage: Eukaryota; Metazoa; Chordata; Mammalia; Artiodactyla; Balaenopteridae.
UCCCUGGUGGUCCAGUGGCUAAGACUCCAUGCUCCCAAUGCAGGAGGCCUGGGUUCAAUCCCUGGUCAGGGAA